Molecule: ribosomal RNA, 119 nt
Filed under: Pteropus alecto (black flying fox)
Lineage: Eukaryota; Metazoa; Chordata; Mammalia; Chiroptera; Pteropodidae
Source: RNAcentral
GUCUACGGCCAUGCUACCCUGAACAAGCCCGAUCCCGUCUGAGCUCAGAAGCUAAGCAGGGUCAGGCCUGGAUAGUACUUGGAUGAGAGACCACCUAGGAAGACCAGGUACUGUAGCCU